GUCCUUUGGAUCUCUGACAAGCCAUUCUUUGUAAUCUUCUUUGUGUUUCCUUUCCUAUGGAUUCCCUUGCCGCAAAGUUCACCUCCCUCUCCUGCAAAGGCCUUUCCCAGUUGGAGUAUGCAGUUGCAUUCAGCCAGCUCGGUGUGGUUACAGCGUGUGACGAUGUUGUGCUCGAUGUUCUGGAUCAGAGCUAAUUACUACCGCCCUGUAGACCUCCCAGACAACAACGGACUGAGCUGGAGGGAAGCAAUCAUCCAGUGUCUGGAGAGUGUCUACGUCCGAUCCAGAGGACAGCCAAACCCAGAGCCCAGCCCACCAUCUCUAUCACUCCUGUUCCUGUUCACUUCCUCGCCACCAUAUCCCAGCAGACCACUAGCUCCACCGGGCUACCUCGUCCCUCCUGCUCUGCCUUGGUCUGGUGUUGACCAUCCUGUGCCUUGGGACUCAACUCCUCCGGCUUCUCCUCGUCCCACUGGCUCCGUCAGGCUUCUUCAGCCCCUUGGUUCCACCUCAGUCCUCUGUCACUCCGGCUCCACUGCGGCCUUUCAGAUCCAUGCCUCUGUGUCAGUUGCCGGUGCCAUCUGCUCCGCCUUGGUCCUCUGGAUCCUCCCCAUUGCCCUGGAUUCAUCGGCUAUUUGUCUCUGUCUCGGGUUCCUCCGCCACCUGCUCCGUCGCCGUUGGUCGGCUCCCUGGAGUCAUCAGCCCGUCAACAUUAUGGCUGUGGCCUGGGUACUACCUGUCACUGCAUGCUCCAAGUCCCUCCUACCAUCUCCCUGGCUCCUCCUCCCUGAGGGGAGUAAUGUCAGUAUUAUGGAAUGUCUUUGUUGUGUUUUGCUCCCCAUGUGCUCCCCGUGACCCAGUUUCAUCCUCAUGUAACCUUAUUUGGUUGUUCCUGUUCCUGACCUCCUUGUUUCUUAAUUAGUCAUUCUGUUCACAUGGGUUCCUCCCAAUUGCCUUGUUAAGUCAUGUAUUUAGUUCCAGUCUGUGCGUUCCUCCUUUGUCUCCUUUGUUCCUGGGUCUACCAGCUGUGUACAUGUGUCUUCCUUCCCUACCAAGUGUGGAUUUACCC
Molecule: long non-coding RNA, 1069 nt
Organism: Cyprinus carpio carpio
Lineage: Eukaryota; Metazoa; Chordata; Actinopteri; Cypriniformes; Cyprinidae
Source: Ensembl